This 253-nucleotide ribosomal RNA is filed under the name uncultured bacterium. RNAcentral describes it as "partial 16S ribosomal RNA". It matches the Rfam family "Bacterial small subunit ribosomal RNA", at positions 524 to 776 of the family's 1533-position model. The record is from RNAcentral.
GACGAACCGAGCGAACGUUGUUCGGAAUCACUGGGCUUAAAGGGCGCGUAGGCGGGUUCUCAAGUCCGGGGUGAAAUCCCACAGCUCAACUGUGGAACUGCCUCGGAUACUGGGAGUCUCGAGGGUGGCAGGGGUAUGCGGAACUAUCGGUGGAGCGGUGAAAUGCGUUGAUAUCGAUAGGAACUCCGGUGGCGAAGGCGGCACACUGGUCCACUUCUGACGCUGAGGCGCGAAAGCCAGGGGAGCAAACGGG